GACGAACGCUGGCGGCGUGCUUAACACAUGCAAGUCGAACGGAAAGGCCUGCUUUUCCUUAUGGAUUGCGGGUACUCGAGUGGCGAACGGGUGGGUAACACGUGAGUGAUCUGCCCCCAACUUGGGUAUAAGCCCGGGAACCUGGGUCUAAUUACCGAUUGGACUGCAGGGUGGUGUCUGUGGUGGAAAAUGUUUUUCUAGUGGUUGGGGAUGAGCCCGCGGCGUAUCAGCUUGUUGGUGUGGUAAUGGCCUACCGAGGCGGCGAGGCGUAGCCGGCCUGAGGGGGUGAUAGGCCGCACGGCAACUGAGACACGGUCCAGACUCCUACGGGAGGCAGGAGGAGGGAAUGUUCCGAAAUGGGCGAAAGGCUGACGGAGCAACGCCGCGUGAGUGAUGAAGGUCUGCGGGUCUUAGAAUUCUGUUAUUAGGGAAGACCAAAGGUGUAAGUAACUAUGCACGGCUGGACGGUAUCUAAUCAGAAAGCCACGGCUAACUCCGUG
This 500-nucleotide ribosomal RNA is filed under the name uncultured bacterium. RNAcentral's name for it is "partial 16S ribosomal RNA". It matches the Rfam family "Bacterial small subunit ribosomal RNA", at positions 28 to 507 of the family's 1533-position model. The record is from RNAcentral.